CCUACGGGAGGCAGCAGUGGGGAAUCUUAGACAAUGGGCGCAAGCCUGAUCUAGCCAUGCCGCGUGAGUGAUGAAGGCCUUAGGGUCGUAAAGCUCUUUCGCCUGUGAAGAUAAUGACUGUAGCAGGUAA
RNAcentral lists this ribosomal RNA (130 nucleotides) under uncultured bacterium. RNAcentral's name for it is "partial 16S ribosomal RNA". It matches the Rfam family "Bacterial small subunit ribosomal RNA", at positions 338 to 485 of the family's 1533-position model. The record is from RNAcentral.